Molecule: ribosomal RNA, 411 nt
Filed under: uncultured prokaryote
Description: bacterial SSU rRNA
Rfam family: Bacterial small subunit ribosomal RNA
Source: RNAcentral
GUGUCAGCAGCCGCGGUAAUACGGAGGAUGCAAGCGUUAUCCGGAUUUAUUGGGUUUAAAGGGUGCGUAGGCGGGAUCAUAAGUCAGUGGUGAAACCCUGCAGCUUAACUGUAGACUUGCCAUUGAUACUGUGGUUCUUGAGUGUGGUCAAGGGAGGCGGAAUGUGUAAUGUAGCGGUGAAAUGCUUAGAUAUUACACAGAACACCAAUUGCGAAGGCAGCUUUCUGGGCCAUUACUGACGCUGAUGCACGAAAGCGUGGGGAGCGAACAGGAUUAGAUACCCUGGUAGUCCACGCCGUAAACGAUGAUCACUAGCUGUUGGCGAUAUACUGUCAGCGGCAAAGCAAAAGCAUUAAGUGAUCCACCUGGGGAGUACGGCCGCAAGGCUGAAACUUAAAUGAAUUGGCGGGG